Molecule: ribosomal RNA, 305 nt
Filed under: uncultured bacterium
Lineage: Bacteria
Description: bacterial SSU rRNA
Rfam family: Bacterial small subunit ribosomal RNA
Source: RNAcentral
GGGCCUACGGGAGGCAGCAGUGAGGAAUAUUGGUCAAUGGGCGGAAGCCUGAACUAGCCAAGUCGCGUGAGGGAAUAAGGCCCUACGGGUCGUAAACCUCUUUUGCCGGGGAGCAAGGGCCGGGACGAGUCCCGGUCCGGAGAGUACCCGGAGAAAAAGCAUCGGCUAACUCCGUGCCAGCAGCCGCGGUAAUACGGAGGAUGCGAGCGUUAUCCGGAUUUAUUGGGUUUAAAGGGUGCGCAGGCGGCGUGUCAAGUCAGCGGUAAAAUGUCGGGGCUCAACCCCGGCCGGCCGUUGAAACUGGG